This 240-nucleotide unclassified non-coding RNA is filed under the name soil metagenome. Its description in RNAcentral is "partial contains 5.8S ribosomal RNA, internal transcribed spacer 2, and large subunit ribosomal RNA". The record is from RNAcentral.
AACUGAUACUACCUGCGGGAACCUGCGGAAGGAUCAUUAAUGAGAAACUGCCCCUCGCGGGUAGAUCUCCCACCCUUUGUAAACUUACCUUUGUUGCUUUGGCAGGCCCGUCUCCGGACCGCCGGCUUCGGCUGGCCAGUGCCUGCCAGAGGAUUCUAAAACUCUGUCUGUCAGUGUUGUCUGAGUCUAUAUACAAUCGUUAAAACUUUCAACAACGGAUCUCUAGAUCGGAAGAGCACA